UUUCCUCUCUAUUCACCUUUGAAGGGUAGGAUAGUUGCCCUACUAUGUUUCUGACGGUGACGGAGAAUUAGGGUUCGAUUCCGGAGAGGGAGCCUGAGAAACGGCUACCACAUCCCAAGGAAGGCAGCAGGCGCGCAAAAUUACCCAAUCCUGACACGGGGAGGUAGUGACAAUAAAUAACAAUACACGGGCUCUAUGAGUCUGGUAAUUGGAAUGAGUACAAUCUAAAUCCC
This 233-nucleotide ribosomal RNA is filed under the name uncultured eukaryote. RNAcentral's name for it is "partial 18S ribosomal RNA". It matches the Rfam family "Eukaryotic small subunit ribosomal RNA", at positions 304 to 533 of the family's 1831-position model. The record is from RNAcentral.